Long non-coding RNA from Cucurbita maxima (winter squash), 287 nucleotides. RefSeq lists it as uncharacterized. Lineage: Eukaryota; Viridiplantae; Streptophyta; Magnoliopsida; Cucurbitales; Cucurbitaceae. The transcript has 2 exons. The record is from RefSeq and is a predicted model, not a curated record.
AACUCAUAUAAAGCAAUACAAACACUCGUUCCUUCACCAACACAAACAUUCACUCUCAAAGGCAUGCUUCAAAAUACUGAGAGGAUGAAGAUGAGACGUGUAGCGGUUGGCGUAGUGAUGGUGUUUAUGAUUAUCAACACUUUGUUUGUUGCUGAUGGAAGGCACUUGAAGUUGCAAGAACAAAGGGAUGAGAACCAAAACUUGGAAGCCAAAAAGCACUAUGAAACUAAUGAAUACAAUCACCAUGGAUGCUAUAGAAGUGACUAUAAUUGUUGGAGCAACAGAAA